RNAcentral lists this ribosomal RNA (729 nucleotides) under uncultured Pseudomonadota bacterium. RNAcentral describes it as "bacterial SSU rRNA". It matches the Rfam family "Bacterial small subunit ribosomal RNA", at positions 1 to 724 of the family's 1533-position model. Lineage: Bacteria; Pseudomonadati; Pseudomonadota. The record is from RNAcentral.
AGGAGUUUGAUCCUGGCUCAGAGUGAACGCUGGCGGCAGGCCUAACACAUGCAAGUCGAGCGGCAGCGGGCUGUAGCAAUACAGUGCCGGCGAGCGGCGGACGGGUGAGGAAUACAUCGGAAUCUACCUUGUCGUGGGGGAUAACGUAGGGAAACUUACGCUAAUACCGCAUACGAACUACGGUUGAAAGCGGAGGACCGCAAGGCUUCGCGCGAUUGGAUGAGCCGAUGUCGGAUUAGCUAGUUGGCGGGGUAAAGGCCCACCAAGGCGACGAUCGGUAGCUGGUCUGAGAGGAUGAUCAGCCACACUGGGACUGAGACACGGCCCAGACUCCUACGGGAGGCAGCAGUGGGGAAUUUUGGACAAUGGGGGCAACCCUGAUCCAGCCAUGCCGCGUGAGUGAAGAAGGCCUUCGGGUUGUAAAGCUCUUUUGGCCGGAAAGAAAAGAUUUCGUCUAAUAAACGGAGUUCUUGACGGUACCGGCAGAAUAAGCACCGGCUAACUACGUGCCAGCAGCCGCGGUAAUACGUAGGGUGCGAGCGUUAAUCGGAAUUACUGGGCGUAAAGAGUGCGUAGGCGGUUCUUUGUGUCCGCUGUGAAAGCCCCGGGCUUAACCUGGGAAUGGCAGUGGAAACUAGAGGACUUGAAUCCGGCAGAGGGGGGCUGGAAAUGCCACGUGUAGCCAGGGAAAUGCGUAAGAUGUGGCGGAACAACCGAUGGCGAAGGCAG